Molecule: transfer RNA, 69 nt
Filed under: Cavia porcellus (domestic guinea pig)
Lineage: Eukaryota; Metazoa; Chordata; Mammalia; Rodentia; Caviidae
Rfam family: tRNA
About the family: Transfer RNA (tRNA) molecules are approximately 80 nucleotides in length. Their secondary structure includes four short double-helical elements and three loops (D, anti-codon, and T loops).
Source: Rfam by way of RNAcentral
GGGGAUAUAGCUCAGCGGCAGAGUGCCUACUUGGCAAGUAUGAGGUCCUGAGUUUGAUCCUCAAUACCA